RNAcentral lists this microRNA precursor (127 nucleotides) under Myotis brandtii (Brandt's bat). Its description in RNAcentral is "mir-9193 microRNA precursor family". It matches the Rfam family "mir-9193 microRNA precursor family". The record is from Rfam by way of RNAcentral. Lineage: Eukaryota; Metazoa; Chordata; Mammalia; Chiroptera; Vespertilionidae.
GAUGCACCGGUGGGGUCCCUCGGCUUGGCCUGCGUCCUCUUGCAAUCCAGGACCUCUCGGAGGAUGUCGGAGAGCCAGCUUCGGCCCAAUCCCUGCAGGCCAGGCCGAGGGACCCCACCGGUGCACA